This 208-nucleotide unclassified non-coding RNA is filed under the name uncultured Trechisporales. Its description in RNAcentral is "sequence contains ITS1". The record is from RNAcentral. Lineage: Eukaryota; Fungi; Basidiomycota; Agaricomycetes; Trechisporales.
AUGAAACAAACCGGGGGCGGCGGGGCGCGGCCUCGCACCGGCGGAGACGCCGUUGUGCGGGCUCGUCCUGCCCCCUCAUCCACAACCCACACACCUGUGCACCAAAGGGACGGCGGGUGGAUAACGCACGCCGUCUCGCUUUAACAAGCUCAAAAGUCUAUUUUGAAUGUCAUUUAUUCGGGCUAGCCCCGAUGUAACUUAAACGUAA